Molecule: non-coding RNA, 867 nt
Organism: Cyanistes caeruleus (blue tit)
Lineage: Eukaryota; Metazoa; Chordata; Aves; Passeriformes; Paridae
Source: RefSeq, a predicted model, not a curated record
UUGGUCUCUGUGCUCGGCUAAGCCCUGAGUGCAGCAGGUGCGACUCCAGCGUCGGCACUCCCAGCUGGAUGGCGCCAGAAGUCGUGAGAGGAGAAGCCUACGGCCCCAAAGUGGACAUCUGAUCCCUGGGGAUCACGGGGCUGGAGAUGGUGGAAGGGGAAGCUCCUUACCAGAGGGAGCCCAAGUUCAGGGUUUUGGACUGAUCGAAAGGAACGGGCCCCCAAAACUGCAAAACCCCAGGCACCACUCGGCUCUCCUGCGCGACUUUCUGCGCUGCUGCCUGCAGGCAGACGAAGACAGGCGCUGGUCUGCCCAGGAGCUCCUGCAGCAUCCGUUUGUGACCUCAGGCCAGCCCGCCUCCAGCCUGGCUGCUCUCAUCGUCUCAGCCAAGCAAGUGCAGGAAGACUGGAGAGGAGAGGCUUGCGCCUGAGGAAGCCUUUGUGCCACGCCAGCUCCGAGGAGUGCAAAGGGGAUGGAUGGUGUUUAGGCAGAGAGUCAGCCAUCCCCUGGACUUUCUGAGGAGCUGAGCCACGCAGAGGAAAAUUUCAUCUUUUGUUGUUUUCUUAGCUUUGCCGUUUUUAGUUAGGAUGCUACAGCAUAGCAAUCUUCAUUAAUGUAUAGCUAAGGGUAGAGUAUUGUUGUCGUAGGGAAGCUUAGAAGUAGCCUUUUAGGAGAAUAGAGAGAAUUGUCAUAGUAAGAAUGAAGCUAUCAAAGCAAAAGCAAAAACUCAGCAGAACCGAAGCAUGCACGUGCUACGAGCUGUCAGCCUGAACAGGCUACCUGGAGGAGAGAAUGAUGAAGAUGAUGAAGUAGCCAGAAGAGGCUCUGUUUCAGCCCUGGGUUUCAGCAAGACUGGCAAUAAAAACC